AAACGUUUUCUGCAAUAUCUGUUUUGCUGCAAAAUUCUAAUGUCUGCACGUUUUGUACAGAAUUUAUUGUUCUUAAUUGAACUUAAGAAGAGGUAUUGGUCGUAGGAAACUGGGUUAAUUAAUAUUUGUUCUGUUGAGUCUAUCUUAGGGAUACAAAACUGAAUUGGGACAAGCUUAUUAUUAUUUUUCUUUUUAAUACUUAUACUUCUGCAUAAUAGUUCUAAUCUUAUGAAGCUUAUCUGUUUUAGAAUGAUAAGCUUAAGGUUGAGUUUAGAGGACCUGGGCUGUAAACAACAGACAUAAGCUUGGCUUUGCACUUAAGUGAAUUAAUCUACUCAAAUAUGCAUGCAGAAGUAGGGAGCAUGAUUCUAUUUUCAAGUUGUUUGGUCACUAGGCUUAGAGUUUAAAACUUGCAUGCAGAAGUAGGGAGCAUGAUUCUAUUUUCUACAUAAUUGCCGGUGUUGCAGUUUUGGAUGAUAAUUUUAGUUUAAUUUUGGUUUGAAGUUUUUUAAUAUUUUAGAAUGAUAUGGUUGGUUUAAACUGCUGCCACUUUCCUGCUAUCAGUAUAAAGCCAAGCCAAGGUGAAGGCCGUUACAAUUUUUGUUUCUUGUCUUUCUAUUGUGUAGAUCAAGGUUAUGAACUUUUUUUCUUAUUUCAUUUGGUUCCUUAUCUAAGUUUCUAUGAUUUGUGUUCUCUAUGGUUGCUUCUACCAUGGCAUUUACUAGACUGAUUUGGUCUUUUCAACUGUGAUAAUUGGUUUGAAGGCCAAAAGAUCAGAACGAUCCAUUUGGUCAGUUUGGCCCUGUCAAGGAUGUUUAGGACACAAUUUUUACCAUAUCAUGUAAAAAUAUUUAUCUACCAUUUAAUUUUUUCUGUGAUGUUCCUCUAGACUUAUAAUAUAAAUAUGUCUGUAAGUAUGCUGCUGACAUGUUUAAUAUUAAAUUUGGAAGCAUUUGGUGGUAAGUAAAUUGUCGAAUAUAUUAUAAAGUGUUGUUUUAUAAUGAGUAUUAUAAUUUGUAUUGCACAAGCUCUAAAGAGUGAUGAAUAGAUCUAUCAAACAAGCUACAGAAAGCUGACAUUAGAGGAAAAAAAACCAGACCUAAUAUUUAUUUUGGAUGAUGAGAUAAGAUAGAAUUGCAGAUCGGUGGAUUUGGAAGCAUGCUACUGGUGGUGGUUACACGGUCAGCAGCGCGUACAAAUUGCUCACUACUGUGGUCCCUCCACAGUUCAAUCUCCUCCACCGCCGUUCAUUCUCCUUCACAGUUUAAUCUCGAACCACAAUCCGUCAAACCCUCCGCAGUCGAAGAACUACAACCCCUCCUCCGUUCUCUGUUGUUCUCUGCAUUUCCAAGGUAUGGAGUAACUUCAUCUCUCUACCGUUCCAAUGUAUUGAUUGAUUGCAUGUUGUUUCUCUUUAGCUUGCUUCUAUACUGUGUUUUCUAACUAAUGGGUCAAACAAGAGAUGAACUUGAUGACAACACAAUAAUUUUUUAGUUAACCUUUGUGAAGUUCAAUUUGUAAUUUGUGGAAUAUAGUGAGGCUUAAUUGAGAAAUUAGAGUUAAUUCCUUUUGUUUGUCUUUUAUAUAAGGGAAUAAAUACAAUUGUGGAUACGCAAUAGAGG
This 1622-nucleotide long non-coding RNA is filed under the name Trifolium pratense (red clover). Its description in RNAcentral is "long non-coding RNA (TPRA_LNC008470)". Lineage: Eukaryota; Viridiplantae; Streptophyta; Magnoliopsida; Fabales; Fabaceae. The record is from RNAcentral.